RNAcentral lists this transfer RNA (72 nucleotides) under Haemonchus placei. It matches the Rfam family "tRNA". Rfam says of the family: Transfer RNA (tRNA) molecules are approximately 80 nucleotides in length. Their secondary structure includes four short double-helical elements and three loops (D, anti-codon, and T loops). Lineage: Eukaryota; Metazoa; Nematoda; Chromadorea; Rhabditida; Trichostrongylidae. The record is from Rfam by way of RNAcentral.
GUCUCGGUAGUGUAACGGAUAGAGCACGGUGCCCGCAAAGCGCAAGUACGGGUUCGAGUCCCGUUCGAGGCG